Molecule: ribosomal RNA, 425 nt
Filed under: uncultured bacterium
Lineage: Bacteria
Description: bacterial SSU rRNA
Rfam family: Bacterial small subunit ribosomal RNA
Source: RNAcentral
GGGGAAUAUUGGACAAUGGGCGCAAGCCUGAUCCAGCAAUGCCGCGUGGGUGAAGACGGCCUGCGGGUUGUAAAGCCCUUUAGGUGGGGAAGAACGAUGCCGGGUGAAUAGCCGGGUGUUAUGACAUUACCCACGGAAUAAGCACCGGCUAACUCCGUGCCAGCAGCCGCGGUAAUACGGAGGGUGCGAGCGUUAAUCGGAAUGACUGGGCGUAAAGCGUGCGUAGGUGGUGGUGUUAGUCAGCCGUGAAAGCCCUGGGCUUAACCUGGGAAUGGCGGUUGAAACGGCGCGACUUGAGUGGGUUAGAGGACUGUGGAACUCCUGGUGUAGCGGUGAAAUGCGUAGAGAUCAGGAAGAACACCGAUGGCGAAGGCAGCGGUCUGGGACCACACUGACACUGAGGCACGAAAGCGUGGGGAGCAAAC